Molecule: RNA transcript, 2408 nt
Organism: Ochotona princeps (American pika)
Lineage: Eukaryota; Metazoa; Chordata; Mammalia; Lagomorpha; Ochotonidae
Gene: TLCD2
Gene name: TLC domain containing 2
Exons: 4
Source: RefSeq, a predicted model, not a curated record
ACAGCGCCGCCGGCCGUGGGGAGCGGACGCGGUGGUGUGCGCCCCUGCCCUCAGCAACCCCCACACCCAGCACCAGGUGGGUGCGAGCGGGGAACCCGGUCCUACAGGGCGGGGGGAGAGCCGUGGUGAACGGGGGUGACGGGGGAAAGUGGGGUCCUGGCGGCCACACCCUGCCCUUCCGGGGGAGCGGCGGGGGCGACUCGGACCGAAGGGGCCUGGGCUGGCUGGGGCAGCGGGUCAGGAGGACCACGGCGAGCGUUUCGGGCCGGAGUCGUGGUGGGAGGUCUUCCUCUGGGCGGAAGAUGGGGUGUCGCCGGGGGGCCGCUGACCCCGGCGCCCUCGCGUCUGAAGGGGAUACGGGAGCCGGUCAUCCGACCUGGGAAGGAUCGGGACGGAGCCGACCGCGGCGGAGGAGGAGGAACGGGGCCUCCCUGGGACAGGACUCGGUUCCGCGUCCUGGCAGGGAAGGGGUCUCUGGGCGGGCCGGCCCCUCCUCUCGGCCCCUCCGGGGGAUGUUAUGUAAGGGGGGAGGGGAGAGGAGUAGGGGGCGGCGGUGCGGGGGGCCUUAUGCAACCCGGAGGUUAGGGUUUCACCGCGGUUGGGCGGGGAGGAAGGGAAGCGGGCAGGAGGAGGGCCUGGAAACUCUAACCGCCCCCCCCCCCUUCUGCUCAGCCUAAACUGGCUGUCUUGGGCGGAGAGAAGGUCACCUCCCCAGCCUGUCCGGCAGUGAGGCCCCUCGCCCAGGCCUGGCCCUGACCGCCUGGGAAGCCGGCUGGCUGGGUGGGGCGCCCCGGUUAGUCAUCGCUGGGCUCCCUCCCGGCCAACUCCUGGCCCCUCCCCAUGGCCUCCGGCGAGGCUAUCCCCCCCCACCUCCCUCUGGCCCCAGUUCCAACCUCCAACUCUUUUGGCCUGUCAUGCUGGCUGUCAGACUGGCCUAGGAUCUGUCAGGGUGCCAGGGGGUUGAUGGAGCAGCUGGUGAGAGGGGUCAGUGGCCUGGGCCCACCCCGCCCUGCAGCCAAGGGCACCUGCUUGGCACAAGAUGCCCAACAGCCAUGGAGUCCUGCAGGCUGAACCUCGCUGUCCAGACUGAGGGCACUUGGGCAGAGUUCGACUGGUCAGCCAGGGGAAGGAAGAUAUCACAAAGUUUAGGCUUCCCAAGAGGCUUUGGAAUUUGUGCCCCACCAAGCCUCCCAGACACACACACACCCUAAUGGUUCUUACCCUCUGAGUGUACCAAGCCGGAGGCAGACCCUCCUGGGCCCUCUGAGUCUGGCCUGGGCCGUGCCCUUGGAAAGUGUCAGCGCCCAGCCCUCGAUCCUGCCACGCCCCCAGCCCCCUCCCUGGACCAUGCUGCAGGGCCCCGGCUUUUCCUGCUGAUUCAUGCGUUGGAACUGUGGGGGCGGGGCUUGGGACUUGGAACAAAGUUCAGACACGGAGGGGCCGGCAGACAGCCUGGAAUUCAUACCAGAUGUACCCGGAAUGUGCGAGCGGAAUGCCUGGCAUCCCAGAGUCCAGAGGAAGCUGCCCAACCACCCUACCCGGGCCUCCCUCCCUCCCUCCCUCCCUCCCUCCCUCCCCGCCAUCCUCUGCCCAGCCAUCCUCUGCCUCACAGCCCAGGACCCUUCCUUGGCUGAGCUGCUCCCAAAUUCUGACCUUCCUCCUUUCAUGCUUCCCAGGGGCUAGGCCCACCCCACCCCCAUCCUCAGCUGACUGCAUCCUGCUGAAUUCCCUGGAAACAGCUCAGCUCAGCUGAUCCUUGCACUCACCUUUCUGGAAGACCUGAGGAGCCGGUACCUCUCCUGCCCACCUGGCUGAGCCGCAGUAGUUCUUCAGUGGCAAGCUUUAUGUCCUGACCCAGCUAAAGCUGCCAGUUGAAGAACUGUUGCCCUCUGCCCCUGGCUUCAAGGAGGAAGAGGAGGAACAGCAGCUGCUUUCCCUGUCUUCUGGAAGGCUGUCGCUGUACCCGCAGAUGACCACCGACCCGAUUCAUGGGCACCCACCCUGGGCGCUGCUGCUCGUGGCUGUGUCUGUGGGUUAUUUCUUGGCGGAUGGAGCCGACAUGCUGUGGAACCAGACUUUGGCCCAGGCCUGGGAUCUUCUCUGUCACCAUUUGGUGGUGAGACACUGCAAGCCCACUGGCCCCGGGGUCCCAGGCUCUCUCCAGCUUUCUGUCCUCCAGCUUCCUAGCUGGCAGCUGAUCCUCCCAGGCUUAGGCUAGCUUGUGGGGGAAGGGACAGUCUGCUGGACCAGCUGAGGGGCGUCUGGGUGCUGCCUGAGGAGGUUGGAUCCCUGCACCUCUCCUAAGGAUCACAGGCUGUUGAAUGCAGAGCUUUCUUGGGAAGAGGGAGCCCCAGUGUGGGGUGGGACUGCAAGCUGGGAAUGGAGGGUGGACGCUGGGCCACCCCAGC